CUCACCUGAUCUUCCAAUUUUCCUAGUUUCUUCUACUCUUCUCUCUUCUUGGACAGUUAAUUCGCUUGAUUGUACAGGUAUAAGCUAACAUGUAUCAGAGCCACCAGUUGAAAUCUAAGCAAAUUGCGAGCAAAUAGAGUCUUCUCUGUUACUUCAAUUGUGCAAUUGAGAACUGAAUUGAGCUAGAGUGACAUUUGGUUGAAGCUAGGGUUUGUAAGCCUCUUACUUUGAAGCUAUUUCUCGGUCAACAAUGGAAAUUAAAGAUGAACUCGUUGGCGCGACCUCAACUACUAGCAAUUUUAUUGCUGGAGCUGCUACUUUUCCUACCAUCGAUCACAAUCAUCCUUUGUACCUGAACCGACAGACACACCAGGACAUCUUCAGUGGUCAGGUGACGGGAAUUGGUAGAGAAGAACAUGGGCUAUACAUUCUGCAAGGAGGUAUUCCAAAAUAAGAUCUAUAUCAUGCAACAAAUAAGUGUACUAGCACAAUAAAUUCUAUGUGUACUUCUAUUUCUAGUACUUUGUGGCAUAGAAGGUUAGGACAUGCUCCUUCAGAUAUAAUAAAGAGAGUAGAAGAGCUAAGCAAACUCACAACAGCUGAUUCUCAUCACUACAUUGUAUGUCCAGUAGGAAAGCAAACCAAGUUGUCUUUUCAACUAAGUAGUACAACUACAAAAUCAGUGUUUGAACUAAUUCACUGUGAUAUAUGGGGACCUUAUAGAGUGUUCACACAUGAUGGUAAGAGCUAUUUUGUUACUCAAGUUUAUGACCACACAAGGUAUACUUGGAUUUUUCUGUUAUAGUCUAAGUCAAAUGCUAUUGUAGUUCGAAGAGACUUUCUUAGUCAAGUAAAAAAUGUGUUCUCUGCUACUGUAAUGUUUCUAAGAACUAAUAAUGGAAGUGAAUUUUUUAGUACUGAAUUUAAGAGCCU
Nicotiana attenuata is the source of this 933-nucleotide long non-coding RNA. RefSeq lists it as uncharacterized. The transcript is spliced from 3 exons. Lineage: Eukaryota; Viridiplantae; Streptophyta; Magnoliopsida; Solanales; Solanaceae. The record is from RefSeq and is a predicted model, not a curated record.